Molecule: non-coding RNA, 248 nt
Filed under: Erwinia tracheiphila
Lineage: Bacteria; Pseudomonadati; Pseudomonadota; Gammaproteobacteria; Enterobacterales; Erwiniaceae
Description: Lysine sequence
Rfam family: Lysine riboswitch aptamer
About the family: Riboswitches are metabolite binding domains within certain messenger RNAs that serve as precision sensors for their corresponding targets. Allosteric rearrangement of mRNA structure is mediated by ligand binding, and this results in modulation of gene expression. This family includes riboswitches that sense lysine in a number of genes involved in lysine metabolism, including lysC.
Source: Rfam by way of RNAcentral
CAAGCCAGAAGAGGCGCGUCGCCCAGGCAGUGUGUUGGAGGAACCGAAUCCGCAGAAAGCACAUGAUGGGGUGCGACGCCGAGGUACAAACCACGCGGGUGGCGAGUAUCGACUACAGGGGCUGAAUCCCUUGGGUUGUCACCAGGAUCGUUCGGCAGUCGAACAAUCCAUACCUGAUUGAUAAGCGUUGCGGCUACACGCUGCCGCUAUGGUUUAUCGGGUUAACAAGGUGGGGCGCUUCUGGGUUA